Molecule: ribosomal RNA, 520 nt
Filed under: uncultured Glomus
Lineage: Eukaryota; Fungi; Glomeromycota; Glomeromycetes; Glomerales; Glomeraceae
Description: SSU rRNA
Rfam family: Eukaryotic small subunit ribosomal RNA
Source: RNAcentral
AGCAGCCGCGGUAAUUCCAGCUCCAAUAGCGUAUAUUAAAGUUGUUGCAGUUAAAAAGCUCGUAGUUGAAUUUCGGGACCAAUUUGUUGGUCGUGCCUCGGUACGUACUGGUAUUAUUGGUUUCUCCCUUCUGAAGAACCUCGAUGCCAUUAAUUUGGUGUCGUGGGGAUUCAGGACUGUUACUUUGAAAAAAUUAGAGUGUUUAAAGCAAGCAUACGCUUGAAUACAUUAGCAUGGAAUAAUGAAAUAGGACGUUUGAUUCUAUUUUGUUGGUUUCUAGGAUCGACGUAAUGAUUAAUAGGGAUAGUUGGGGGCAUUAGUGUUCAAUUGUCAGAGGUGAAAUUCUUGGAUUUAUUGAAGACUAACUACUGCGAAAGCAUUUGCCAAGGAUGUUUUCAUUAAUCAAGAACGAAAGUUAGGGGAUCGAAGACGAUCAGAUACCGUCGUAGUCUUAACCAUAAACUAUGCCGACUAGGGAUCGGAUGAUGUUAAUUUUUAAUGACUCAUUCGGCGCCUUACG